RNAcentral lists this ribosomal RNA (120 nucleotides) under Colwellia sp. BRX8-9. RNAcentral's name for it is "partial 23S ribosomal RNA". The stretch from base 1 to 103 matches the Rfam family "Bacterial large subunit ribosomal RNA", at positions 2823 to 2925 of the family's 2925-position model. RNAcentral also lists the same sequence under 6 other names. Lineage: Bacteria; Pseudomonadati; Pseudomonadota; Gammaproteobacteria; Alteromonadales; Colwelliaceae. The record is from RNAcentral.
CUCCCUAAAGGGUCGUUGGAGACUACAACGUUGAUAGGUCAGGUGUGUAAGGACUGCGAGGUCUUGAGCUAACUGAUACUAAUUGCCCGUGAGGCUUAACCAUACAACACCCAAGUAGUU